AUGAGUUCCUGCCUUUCCCAUAUAAUUAGAUAUCAUUCCCUUGACUUUAUUUGCUUGCAAGAGACCCAUAAGAAGAAGUUUCAGUACAAUUUUUUUAGGAAAAUUGACCCUUACACUGCUUUUGAGUGGGAUUGGUUUCCCUCAGUAGGGAAAUCUAGAGGAAUCCUAUGUGGGGUCAGAAAAGAGAGGUUUGAAGUUGUUGCAUGGAAGAAAGGCCGGUUUAUCCUCCAGGUUGUUGUAUAUGACAUCAAGAUUAAAAAGAUUUGGACUCUUUGUACUGUAUAUGGGGCCGCUCAUGAUAGUGACAAACAAGAUUUUCUUAUAGAAUUAGCUGACUUUUGCAUUCAUGUGCAAACUCCUCUUUUAAUAGGAGGUGAUUUUAAUAUUCUAAGACACGAGGGAGAGAAGAAUAAAAAUUGGCAUCGUUCCCCUUAA
This 435-nucleotide ribosomal RNA is filed under the name Triticum aestivum (bread wheat). RNAcentral describes it as "partial small subunit ribosomal RNA". Lineage: Eukaryota; Viridiplantae; Streptophyta; Magnoliopsida; Poales; Poaceae. The record is from RNAcentral.